Molecule: unclassified non-coding RNA, 236 nt
Filed under: Hevea brasiliensis (rubber tree)
Lineage: Eukaryota; Viridiplantae; Streptophyta; Magnoliopsida; Malpighiales; Euphorbiaceae
Source: RNAcentral
CGCAGAUUCUGACUGGACAGGACGAGCACAUGGUGGAGGUGGCAGAGGAUUAUCUUCUGCAACAGAAGUUAAGGAAGAAGGAGACGAAGAAGAGAGAAUAAUGAAGGACUUAGAUGGGUAUCUAAGAAGAGCUGCUGACCCAUGUAAGCAUGAGUUGCUGUUAGCAUAAAGGCGAUGAGAGAAAAGGGUUUGAUGAGGUGUUGGUAUUGACAGUAGGGUGAUUGCCAUUCUACCUC